This 235-nucleotide ribosomal RNA is filed under the name uncultured bacterium. Its description in RNAcentral is "partial 16S ribosomal RNA". It matches the Rfam family "Bacterial small subunit ribosomal RNA", at positions 99 to 334 of the family's 1533-position model. The record is from RNAcentral.
CGGACGGGUGAGGAACGCGUGACUAACCUGCCCAUUGGUGGGGGAUACCGGGCAGAAAUGCCUGUUAAUACCGCAUGAGACCGUCGGGUGGAGGCCUGGCGGGGAAAGCCUACGGGCGCCGAUGGAGGGGGUCGCGUCGGAUUAGCUAGUUGGUGGGGUAACGGCCUACCAAGGCGGUGAUCCGUAGCUGGUCUGAGAGGACGGCCAGCCACACUGGGACUGAGACACGGCCCAG